AAAAAAUAUAAAAAAAUUAUUUUUCAGAAAACAAAGAAGCCAAUAUGUGAUAUUACUUGACAUUUAAUUAACUUAAAAAAAAAAAUCAACUGUUGGCAUAUAAAUGCUGGCCCAAGUUGAGCUCAUUAACCAAUUUUUCAAUGAAGUGAUUAAUUGACUUGGGCCAUAACUCAUUAGGCUGUGAGCCAGCCUAAUAAUAAACAACUAAUUACAUAAAUCCAUAAGCUUGGGUUGUGAUUAUACUAGUGUAGAUUGGAAUAAUGUCUAUUGUUAUUCAGGCCUGAUAGCCAUUGCAUCAACCCUUGCUUGCUUAACCAAUUUUUUGAGGGUUUCAGCCUUAACAAGGAUAGAAGUAUCCAUUUAUGGCCCAAUUCCUAAGAAGUUUCAGGUAGACAUAUUUAUUCUCUUUCUUUCAAAGUGUUUGAUUUCUCUCCUGACAAAAACUCAGAGUAACCUUCCCUUAUUGACUAUAGGCCCCUUAAGAAAAGAGAGCUCUAAUACUAUUUUUGUUAGCUAAAUAAAAAAUAGAUAGGUAAAUAGGUUUGUUGGAAAGAUGGAAGGAAUAAGAUAGAAAAGUUAGCAAAAUCAUAAACAUUCUCUUCAAUUUAAUAACCUUUCCAUAAUACAAUAGUUUAUCUAAUUGUUUUUUAAUGUAUCCAUUCAAUAAUGUAAAACAUUACAAUGAAAUAAAAAAAAAUCAAUUAUAUAUAUAUAUAU
Molecule: unclassified non-coding RNA, 717 nt
Filed under: Hevea brasiliensis (rubber tree)
Lineage: Eukaryota; Viridiplantae; Streptophyta; Magnoliopsida; Malpighiales; Euphorbiaceae
Source: RNAcentral